UUGUGAAAUUACAGUGCGGUUCUCCUUUGGCAAAAGAGAGACAUUGCAUGCAAAGGUCUUGAAAUAGCUUCUCUUCCGCCAAAGGAGAAUUGCCCUGUAAUUCCCAC
Non-coding RNA from Eucalyptus grandis, 107 nucleotides. Lineage: Eukaryota; Viridiplantae; Streptophyta; Magnoliopsida; Myrtales; Myrtaceae. The record is from Rfam.